Molecule: ribosomal RNA, 486 nt
Filed under: uncultured bacterium
Lineage: Bacteria
Description: partial 16S ribosomal RNA
Rfam family: Bacterial small subunit ribosomal RNA
Source: RNAcentral
AUUGAACGCUGGCGGCAUGCCUUACACAUGCAAGUCGAACGGCAGCACGGGUUCUUGCACCUGGUGGCGAGUGGCGAACGGGUGAGUAAUACAUCGGAACAUGUCCUGUAGUGGGGGAUAGCCCGGCGAAAGCCGGAUUAAUACCGCAUACGAUCUACGGAUGAAAGCGGGGGACCUUCGGGCCUCGCGCUAUAGGGUUGGCCGAUGGCUGAUUAGCUAGUUGGUGGGGUAAAGGCCUACCAAGGCGACGAUCAGUAGCUGGUCUGAGAGGACGACCAGCCACACUGGGACUGAGACACGGCCCAGACUCCUACGGGAGGCAGCAGUGGGGAAUUUUGGACAAUGGGCGAAAGCCUGAUCCAGCAAUGCCGCGUGUGUGAAGAAGGCCUUCGGGUUGUAAAGCACUUUUGUCCGGAAAGAAAUCCUUGGCCCUAAUACGGUCGGGGGAUGACGGUACCGGAAGAAUAAGCACCGGCUAACUACGUG